RNAcentral lists this ribosomal RNA (273 nucleotides) under uncultured bacterium. Its description in RNAcentral is "partial 16S ribosomal RNA". It matches the Rfam family "Bacterial small subunit ribosomal RNA", at positions 83 to 354 of the family's 1533-position model. The record is from RNAcentral.
UGUUGAUGGCGACCGGCGCACGGGUGAGUAACGCGUAUCCAACCUGCCCUUUACUAUGGGACAGCCCGUCGAAAGGCGGAUUAAUACCGUAUGUUGUCAUGUUGAUGCAUAUUUUCAUGACCAAAGGCUUCGGCCGGUAAAGGAUGGGGAUGCGUCUGAUUAGCUUGCCGGCGGGGUAACGGCCCACCGGGGCGACGAUCAGUAGGGGUUCUGAGAGGAAGGUCCCCCCCAUUGGAACUGAGACACGGUCCAAACUCCUACGGAAGGCAGCAG